RNAcentral lists this ribosomal RNA (206 nucleotides) under uncultured Sedimentibacter sp. RNAcentral describes it as "partial 16S ribosomal RNA". It matches the Rfam family "Bacterial small subunit ribosomal RNA", at positions 568 to 774 of the family's 1533-position model. Lineage: Bacteria; Bacillati; Bacillota; Tissierellia. The record is from RNAcentral.
UGAGUAGGCGGUAAUAUGUGUCAGAUGUAAAAGGCUAUGGCUUAACCAUAGUUGGCAUUUGAAGCUGUAUUACUUGAGUGCAGGAGAGGUAAGUGGAAUUCCUAGUGUAGCGGUGAAAUGCGUAGAUAUUAGGAGGAACACCAGUGGCGAAGGCGACUUACUGGACUGUAACUGACGCUGAGUCACGAAAGCGUGGGUAGCAAACA